AUUGCACAAUGGGCGCAAGCCUGAUGCAGCGACGCCGCGUGAGGGAUGACGGCCUUCGGGUUGUAAACCUCUUUCGCCAGGGACGAAGCGCAAGUGACGGUACCUGGAGAAGAAGCACCGGCCAACUACGUGCCAGCAGCCGCGGUAAUACGUAGGGUGCGAGCGUUGUCCGGAAUUACUGGGCGUAAAGAGCUCGUAGGUGGUUUGUCGCGUUGUUCGUGAAAACUCACAGCUUAACUGUGGGCGUGCGGGCGAUACGGGCAGACUGGAGUACUGCAGGGGAGACUGGAAUUCCUGGUGUAGCGGUGGAAUGCGCAGAUAUCAGGAGGAACACCGGUGGCGAAGGCGGGUCUCUGGGCAGUAACUGACGCUGAGGAGCGAAAGCGUGGGGAGCGAACAGGAUUAGAUACCCUGGUAGUCCACGCCGUAAACGGUGGGUACUAGGUGUGGGUUUCCUUCCUUGGGAUCCGUGCCGUAGCUAACGCAUUAAGUACCCCGCCUGGGGAGUACGGCCGCAAGGCUAAAACUCAAAGGAAUUGACGGGGGCCCGCACAAGCGGCGGAGCAUGUGGAUUAAUUCGAUGCAACGCGAAGAACCUUACCUGGGUUUGACAUGCACAGGACGCCGGCAGAGAUGUCGGUUCCCUUGUGGCCUGUGUGCAGGUGGUGCAUGUGCG
Molecule: ribosomal RNA, 676 nt
Filed under: Mycolicibacterium chlorophenolicum
Lineage: Bacteria; Bacillati; Actinomycetota; Actinomycetes; Mycobacteriales; Mycobacteriaceae
Description: bacterial SSU rRNA
Rfam family: Bacterial small subunit ribosomal RNA
Source: RNAcentral